RNAcentral lists this long non-coding RNA (966 nucleotides) under Homo sapiens (human). Its description in RNAcentral is "HSALNT0208581". The record is from RNAcentral. Lineage: Eukaryota; Metazoa; Chordata; Mammalia; Primates; Hominidae.
CAAGAAGGUGACAUUUGAGCAAAGGCUUGAAGGAGAUGAUAGAGUGAGCGACAAUGGGACAAGCAGUACAGAGAGCCUAUGCUUUAACAGGAUCACUCUGGCUGCUGUUGAGAAGAGAUUAUGAGGUCAAGACUGAGAGCAAUAGACAAAUUAAGGGCUACUGAACCAGAAGUAGCAGCAGAUAUGGUACUCAGCAUUACCUGCAUGAAAUACGUCAAGGAAUAGCUGCUCUGUUAGCUAUGUAAUUGGGCACUGUAAUUCACUUGUCCUUUUCCUUCCUCCCUCUGACUCUUAACUACCCCAUCUUACUAAGACAAAGGCAAAUCAUAUAUGGGUCCAUUAAUUUGGACACAGAAAAAGUUGGAAGUCUGGCAUUUCUUCCAUUUACUUCGGACAGUGAUGGCUAACUUUCAGAGGUUCUUGUGCUCAUGUUGUUUAGCUGGAAGAGACAAAAUGAUCAUGCUGACUCAAAAGAUUGAAUGUGGGCCAAGGACCCAGGAGAAUGCUCAGAGUUCUGUGACCUCUCCGAAAUUACAGCAGUAUUUCAAUGUAUGAACAUGUUGGAAUUUUUCUGAAAAGUUUUAAACUUUCAGCCCUUUGAAAUUAUAUUCAGUAUUUUGAUGUAUAGACAUGUUUGAAUUCUUCUGAAAAGUUUUUAACUUUCUGUAUAUUUUCAAAUGUGUCCAUAAACCUGUAACAGUUAAUGCGUCUGGUUUGCAUGCCCUUACACACUCCUUUGUACAUAUUCAAAUUCCACACAUCUUCCAAAAUCAAAUCUCAUUGUUCAUGAACUUUCCGUAACUAUUCUGACUCACAAUGCAUACUUCCAUCUCAGAACUUGAAUGAAAAAAGUACAACUGUUGUAAGUGUCCCCAGAGAAAGUUAUUUGGUGUGUGAGAGAAAGGAAAUGAGGAUGGGAUGUGGUUAAGGGGUCAGGAAAGUCUUCCUGGGGAAGUGAUGCUGGAG